GUGCUCACUUUGGAAGCACAUAUACUGAAAUUGGAACAAUAUAAAGGAGACUAGCAUGGCCCCUGUGCAAGGAUGACAUGCAAAUUCAUGAAGCAUUCCAUAUUUUU
Small nuclear RNA from Vulpes vulpes (red fox), 107 nucleotides. Lineage: Eukaryota; Metazoa; Chordata; Mammalia; Carnivora; Canidae. The record is from Ensembl.